Molecule: transfer RNA, 74 nt
Filed under: bacterium
Lineage: Bacteria
Description: tRNA-Val
Rfam family: tRNA
About the family: Transfer RNA (tRNA) molecules are approximately 80 nucleotides in length. Their secondary structure includes four short double-helical elements and three loops (D, anti-codon, and T loops).
Source: RNAcentral
GGACAAUUAGCUCAGCUGGUUAGAGCACUACAUUCACAUUGUAGAGGUCAUUGGUUCGAAGCCAAUAUUGUCCA